This is a non-coding RNA of Physcomitrium patens, 566 nucleotides long. The record is from RefSeq and is a predicted model, not a curated record. NCBI's taxonomy places the organism in Eukaryota, Viridiplantae, Streptophyta, Bryopsida, Funariales, Funariaceae.
CCCUUUCAAGCUGCGAUCAGUUCCACAAUCAGGAAGUGGGUUUUUCGAAGAUCUCCGUCGUGAUUAAGCGAUGUGGAACACCAUGAAGUUGCUUAAAAUCUUAAACUUAGAAUAGAGAGGCCCUCAAAAGAAGGUGACUUAAGUUUUGAACUUCAGCACUGUGCUAGUUCUAAGCUUGAACGAGGUUGAUUCUAAACAUUAAUCAUGGUCGUUAUCAAGCCUCUUUUGCAGCUUGAAGACUCUCGAGCCUUGUUGACUUCUCAAGCAAUUCAAUCUUGGUUCUCUCCAGUUCCCUACAUCAUAAAAGUAGAAUAAAACAAACAGCGUAAACAAAGAUGCUGAAGGUAGGCAAAGUAGAAGAAGUCACAGCUGCCCACCUUUUGGCCUGCUGUAGAUUUAAAAAGUAUCUGCUGGCAUGAGGUUGGAAACCUCCACAAAACCCUAAAAUGAUGUGAGCUAUUAAGGCGAGGAUCAAGUGUAACCCAUAUAAAAGUACUGCAAUUUACUUGUCUUGUAUUGUUCACUUGGAAAACUGAAUAAAGGUGAAGAGGGAGUUGUCUUGGAAG